This 253-nucleotide ribosomal RNA is filed under the name uncultured bacterium. RNAcentral's name for it is "partial 16S ribosomal RNA". It matches the Rfam family "Bacterial small subunit ribosomal RNA", at positions 524 to 776 of the family's 1533-position model. The record is from RNAcentral.
UACGUAGGGGGCAAGCGUUGUCCGGUAUCAUUGGGCGUAAAGCGCGUGUAGGCGGUUACGUAAGUCUGCUGUGAAAGUCGGAGGCUCAACCUUCGAAAGCCGGUGGAUACUGCGUGACUAGAGUACGGAAGAGGAGAGUGGAAUUCCUGGUGUAGCGGUGAAAUGCGCAGAUAUCAAGAGGAACACCAACGGCGAAGGCAGCUCUCUGGGACGUUACUGACGCUGAGACGCGAAAGCGUGGGGAGCAAACAGG